Molecule: ribosomal RNA, 353 nt
Filed under: uncultured bacterium
Lineage: Bacteria
Description: bacterial SSU rRNA
Rfam family: Bacterial small subunit ribosomal RNA
Source: RNAcentral
GACUAACGCUGGCGGCGCGCCUAACACAUGCAAGUCGCACGAGAAACUCUGUAGCAAUACGGGGCGUAAAGUGGCGAACGGGUGAGUAAUGCAUGGGUGACCUGUCCUCAAGAUGGGAAUAACCUCGCGAAAGCGGGGCUAAUACCCAAUGCCAUCUCGGUUCUACGGGAUCGGGAUGAAAGGUAGCUGUUACAGGCUGUCACUUGAGGAAGGCCCAUGCCCAUCAGCUAGUUGGUAGGGUAACGGCCUACCAAGGCUAUGACGGGUAGCUGGUCUGAGAGGACGACCAGCCACACUGGCACUGAGACACGGGCCAGACUCCUACGGGAGCAGCAGUGAGGAAUCUUGCGCAA